CAGAAGACAGUGCUGGUGAGAUUUGUGCUGGUCUUCUGGGAGGGCCUGCAGUGCCAGGACUGAGGCAAUCAUGACUGCCUUCAGCCCAUAAGGAACAAUUCCGUAUAUUGUAAGUGCUUAAUAAUACCAUAAACAGCAAAUAAAAACCUCAAAUGUGCAUGGCAACUGUGAGAUAAGGCACUGGGAAUGGAGCAGAGCACUUGUCAUCCAGGAGAGAAUGUGCGGAGAGAUGGUAGGAUGUAGGAACUUCCCAGGCACGUACUUACACAGGAAAUCUAUUUCUCCUGCAAUUUCUUUGCAUUCUAAGCAAAAUUGAAGAGAGACCUAAUGGAAUUUUCAACAUUGAUCACCAAAAAUAAUAACCAAGGAGAAAUCACUAUGUGGAUUUUGAGGUAGAGCUCAAAUGAAUUCAAGGAUUGAUGAUCGAUGUCGCCAUAACAAAACUCUCAUUCCCAUCUACUUAUGUCAACAAGGUUUUUCAGAGCUGGCAUCUACAAAAAUGAAAAAUAAAAAUGGAACUAGUACUAAAUCUGCCUCAAGCAACAAAAAGGGGAAAUUUGGACACAGACACAGACAUACACAAAAGGAAGACAAUGUGAAGAUGGCCAUGUGCGAUGGGAAGCAGAGACAGGGCUGAUGGUAAACCAGGGAACGUCAGGGAUUACUAGUCACCAUAGGAAGCUAUCAGAGGCGAGGAAGAAGUCUACCCUGAGUCCCAGAUGAAGCAAGACCCUGCCAACACCAUGAUUUUGGAUUUCUAGCCUCCUAAACUACA
Canis lupus familiaris (dog) is the source of this 775-nucleotide long non-coding RNA. RefSeq lists it as uncharacterized. The transcript is spliced from 4 exons. The record is from RefSeq and is a predicted model, not a curated record. Lineage: Eukaryota; Metazoa; Chordata; Mammalia; Carnivora; Canidae.